Molecule: ribosomal RNA, 993 nt
Filed under: human gut metagenome
Description: bacterial LSU rRNA
Rfam family: Bacterial large subunit ribosomal RNA
Source: RNAcentral
CCGUAACUAUAACGGUCCUAAGGUAGCGAAAUUCCUUGUCGGGUAAGUUCCGACCCGCACGAAAGGCGUAAUGAUUUGAGCACUGUCUCGACAAUGCAUCCGGUGAAAUUGAAGUACCAGUGAAGAUGCUGGUUACCCGCGCCAGGACGGAAAGACCCCAUGGAGCUUUACUCCAGUUUGAUACUGGGAUUCGGUACUGCAUGUACAGGAUAGGUGGGAGACGAAGAAGGAUGGACGCCAGUCUGUCCGGAGUCGCUGUUGGGAUACCACCCCUGUAGUACUGGGUUUCUAACCAGUUACCAUGAUCUGGUAAUGGGACAAUGUCAGGCGGGGAGUUUGACUGGGGCGGUCGCCUCCGAAAGGGUAUCGGAGGCGCUCAAAGGUUCCCUCAGAAUGGUUGGAAACCAUUUGAAGAGUGCAAAGGCAGAAGGGAGCUUGACUGCGACACCGACGGGUGGAGCAGGUACGAAAGUAGGACUUAGUGAUCCGGUGGUAUAAAGUGGGAUUGCCAUCGCUCAACGGAUAAAAGCUACCCUGGGGAUAACAGGCUUAUCACUCCCAAGAGUUCACAUCGACGGAGUGGUUUGGCACCUCGAUGUCGGCUCAUCGCAUCCUGGGGCUGUAGCAGGUCCCAAGGGUUGGGCUGUUCGCCCAUUAAAGCGGUACGCGAGCUGGGUUCAGAACGUCGUGAGACAGUUCGGUCCCUAUCUGUCGUGGGCGCAGGAUAUUUGAUGGGAGCUGUCCCUAGUACGAGAGGACCGGGACGGACGUACCUCUGGCGCACCAGUUGUUCCGCCAGGAGCAUAGCUGGGCAACUACGUACGGAUCGGAUAAACGCUGAAAGCAUCUAAGCGUGAAGCCGACCCAAAGAUAAGAUGUCCCAUUGUUUUAAACAAGUAAGACCCCUUGAAGACUACAAGGUUGAUAGGCACGAUGUGUAAGUGGAGCGAUCCAUUCAGCAAGCGUGUACUAAUAGGUCGAGGGCUUGACCAC